AGCUAACUCGCUUUACAUAAAUAUUCCAAAAUGGCCGCGCCCAUCGCGACAGCGAGAGAAGGUGGGGACGAUUCACGACUUUACCCCCCGACUGUAGAUGACAGUGACAUAGAUGCACAAAUAACCCCGGGACCUGAUGUAGUGACAAUGGGGACAGUGGCUCGACGAAUACAACUUGAAAUAUUGGUGAUACUGGCAGCAACAGCGUAUGUCUUGUUUGAAGCCUGGAGCACCUUCAGUGUACGAUUAUCAGCAUGUGUUACAGUGUGCCUCUGUUGUCAAUUUUUGACACUGACACUGAAAACCUACGUGGACAACCAGCAACCUCACAUCAGGCAGCUGUUCAGAUCAAAAGCAGACCUUGGCUACCUGUGUUCUAUCCUGGUCCCACUGACUGUUGUAGCUGAUCUGGUCUAUAUAGCUCAACACAAUGUCUUCAUCGACAUGUUGGAAUGGUUGGAUGAGUAUCGCAAGACACUGGACGACAUCGUGGACAUCUGGGGGCUGGAUCAUCAGCACAAGGCUCAAGUCUUUGACCACUACAUGCACUCCAUGUUGGGCUGUGCCUUCCUGGUGUCCUACCUGGCAACCCUGGGGGUUAUCAGCAACAGAGAUCGCAGUAAACGUCCCCUGUUACCUGCUCGUUAUGGACCACAUCAGUGCUUCUCACAGCAUCGGGUAUUUCAGCUGGCGUUAUAUUGUCCAUGACAGGUACCAUGGCAACAAUGAUGAUGGUGCUGGUGCUGUCCCUCCUUGUGAUUUUUGUUGUCAUCUUCCUUCCAAACCACCUCCCUAGGACCUUCACCUUGGGAGAGUUGUCCUGCAGCAUCCAGCUCAUGGCUGCACUGCUGUGGAAGGCAGUGUAUGUCUACACAACUAGGGACAUCACCAACUUUAAAAUAUACAGCAUAGAUUCAUUGCAAACAAUUAUAUACAUCGCCAUACUUGUGAUCAUCGUCCUGUACGUCCUCCUUCCUGCACAUCUCCGUGGACAACGUCCGUGGGUGUUCUAUGUGGUGUUCAUAUGUGUGUCAGUAGCGUUGGUUAUCCCCACAUCAUACAUGGUUCUCGGACGGAUGUUGUCACGUGGAUGUUCACCAGCAUAUUCUUACAUCCCAAAAGGGUGAGUCUACUGCUGUACUGGAUGGUGUGUUCCGUUGUGGCGGCCGUGUUCAGCUUGUGGCAGGGGUCAGCCACAGAAGGAGACCGCAGCAACACCAUCACCCGCAAGUCAUUCCAUCUGGUCAUAGUAGUCGUG
This 1258-nucleotide unclassified non-coding RNA is filed under the name Haliotis rubra (blacklip abalone). RNAcentral describes it as "dolichol kinase-like, transcript variant X1". The record is from RNAcentral. Lineage: Eukaryota; Metazoa; Mollusca; Gastropoda; Lepetellida; Haliotidae.